Molecule: ribosomal RNA, 899 nt
Filed under: Campylobacter coli
Lineage: Bacteria; Pseudomonadati; Campylobacterota; Epsilonproteobacteria; Campylobacterales; Campylobacteraceae
Description: partial 23S ribosomal RNA
Rfam family: Bacterial large subunit ribosomal RNA
Source: RNAcentral
AAAGGUAAGCUACUAAGAGCGAAUGGUGGAUGCCUUGACUGGUAAAGGCGAUGAAGGACGUACUAGACUGCGAUAAGCUACGGGGAGCUGUCAAGAAGCUUUGAUCCGUAGAUUUCCGAAUGGGGCAACCCAAUGUAUAGAGAUAUACAUUACCUAUAUAGGAGCGAACGAGGGGAAUUGAAACAUCUUAGUACCCUCAGGAAAAGAAAUCAAUAGAGAUUGCGUCAGUAGCGGCGAGCGAAAGCGCAAGAGGGCAAACCCAGUGCUUGCACUGGGGGUUGUAGGACUGCAAUGUGCAAGAGGUGAGUUUAGCAGAACAUUCUGGAAAGUAUAGCCAUAGAGGGUGAUAGUCCCGUAUGCGAAAAACAAACCUUAGCUAGCAGUAUCCUGAGUAGGGCGGGACACGAGAAAUCCUGUCUGAAGCUGGGUCGACCACGAUCCAACCCUAAAUACUAAUACCAGAUCGAUAGUGCACAAGUACCGUGAGGGAAAGGUGAAAAGAACUGAGGUGAUCAGAGUGAAAUAGAACCUGAAACCAUUUGCUUACAAUCAUUCAGAGCCCUAUGUAGCAAUACAGGGUGAUGGACUGCCUUUUGCAUAAUGAGCCUGCGAGUUGUGGUGUCUGGCAAGGUUAAGCAAACGCGAAGCCGUAGCGAAAGCGAGUCUGAAUAGGGCGCUUAGUCAGAUGCUGCAGACCCGAAACGAAGUGAUCUAUCCAUGAGCAAGUUGAAGCUAGUGUAAGAACUAGUGGAGGACUGAACCCAUAGGCGUUGAAAAGCCCCGGGAUGACUUGUGGAUAGGGGUGAAAGGCCAAUCAAACUUCGUGAUAGCUGGUUCUCUCCGAAAUAUAUUUAGGUAUAGCGUUGUGUCGUAAUAUAAGGGGGUAGAGCACUGAAUGG